UACGUAGGGUGCAAGCGUUAAUCGGAAUUAUUGGGCGUAAAGGGUGCGCAGGCGGAUGUAUAAGUCAGAUGUGAAAUCCCCGGGCUUAACCUGGGAAUUGCGUUUGAAACUAUAUGACUAGAGUGUGGUAGAGGGGAGUGGAAUUCCAUGUGUAGCAGUGAAAUGCGUAGAGAUGUGGAAGAACACCGAUGGCGAAGGCAGCUCCCUGGAUUAACACUGACGCUCAUGCACGAAAGCGUGGGGAGCAAACAGG
This 253-nucleotide ribosomal RNA is filed under the name uncultured bacterium. RNAcentral's name for it is "partial 16S ribosomal RNA". It matches the Rfam family "Bacterial small subunit ribosomal RNA", at positions 524 to 776 of the family's 1533-position model. The record is from RNAcentral.